This 1117-nucleotide long non-coding RNA is filed under the name Sinocyclocheilus anshuiensis. RNAcentral describes it as "lncRNA (ENSSANG00000041712.1)". The record is from RNAcentral. Lineage: Eukaryota; Metazoa; Chordata; Actinopteri; Cypriniformes; Cyprinidae.
UGCUGCUCGGAAACGCAAAGGUUUGCAGUUAUGGACGUCCUCUCAACCCAGUGUUGCACAGGUAAGAUUUUGAGCGUAAAGGCUGGCAAGGAUGUGGCUAAUAAAAUGGCUAAAAGGAGGGCAUCUCUUUCACCCCGAACACAAUGUAAUGCUGUGAACCCCCUUUUCCAAACAACUUCUGCAACCCAUGUUGAGAACCUGACCCCUUACUACACUCUUCCUCACAGAGUGGAUCCGGGGCAUUGGGGAAUGGUUGGAAGCACUGCUGCAGACUGGAACGCCUCUGACUUAGUCCCACCUUCACCUUCGACGUCUCAUGCACACUCUGAAAUAAAUUCUCUUCAUCUGUCUAAUAUACGAGCGACUUUAUCACAUUCUGAUGAGAGGAGAUCUAUAGCAGACAUACAAAGACCUCAACAGCCUUCAGUCUCGGCUCCCCAAGCAACUUUACGAGGAGAUUCUUGUGUUACACAUCAAGCAUUUGACAGUGUUAAAUAUCAACAAACUAACACUGCGCCACAUUGUCCUGUGCUCUCACAAGAACAAGUAAACCAGUUCAGUUUAGCCAUGACACAACCUUAUAGUUUGCCAAAUUGCCAUUUGAAUGCAAAUUUGAUACCUCCUCCUCUCUCAGUUCAGGCUUUGACACAUGUCCCUAUGCCCAGCACGAUUACAACAAUUCAUUACCCUUACUUCCUUCUGAAUGGACAAACAUACACCACAGGCUCCACUGCAGCCAUUCACCCUGAUACUAGAUAUUAUCCUAACACCAUUUAGGGCUAAUGUACUACAAGCUUUGAUUGAAUCAGAGAUAUGUAUUUUUGUAAGUCGGUUUUAUUUACAGGUAAAUUACAUCAAAGAACUCGUUCAGGAGUGGCCAACGUCAGUCCUGGAGAGCCACAGUCCUGCAGAGUUUUGCUCCAACCUUGAUUAAACCAAACCUGCGUGUUGGUUUCUAGUAAACCUUGGAUCUUGAUUAGCUUGUCCAGGUGUGUUUGAUUAGGGUUGGAGCUGAUCCAAAGCCACUAGAAGGCAAGCCUGCAACCUUUAGCAAAAAAAAGCGUAACGGCUAAUGCUAACGCUUCCGGUUUGCCAGUAAAAAAAUGCCGUUUUAUAA